CCUACGGGAGGCAGCAGUGGGGGAUAUUGCACAAUGGGGGAAACCCUGAUGCAGCGACGCCGCGUGUGGGAAGACGGUCCUCUGGAUUGUAAACCACUGUCCCCAGGGACGAAGAUGACGGUACCUGGGGAGGAAGCUCCGGCUAACUACGUGCCAGCAGCCGCGGUAAUACGUAGGGAGCGAGCGUUGUCCGGAAUUACUGGGUGAAAAGGGAGCGUAGGCGGGACUGCAAGUUGGGUGUCAAAUCUACCGGCUCAACCGGUAGCCGCACUCAAAACUGCAGUUCUUGAGUGAAGUAGAGGCAGGCGGAAUUCCUAGUGUAGCGGUGAAAUGCGUAGAUAUUAGGAGGAACACCAGUGGCGAAGGCGGCCUGCUGGGCUUUGACUGACGCUGAGGCUCGAAAGUGUGGGGAGCAAACAGGAUUAGAUACCCCAGUAGUC
This 440-nucleotide ribosomal RNA is filed under the name uncultured bacterium. RNAcentral's name for it is "partial 16S ribosomal RNA". It matches the Rfam family "Bacterial small subunit ribosomal RNA", at positions 338 to 795 of the family's 1533-position model. The record is from RNAcentral.